RNAcentral lists this ribosomal RNA (431 nucleotides) under uncultured Alphaproteobacteria bacterium. Its description in RNAcentral is "bacterial SSU rRNA". It matches the Rfam family "Bacterial small subunit ribosomal RNA", at positions 8 to 486 of the family's 1533-position model. Lineage: Bacteria; Pseudomonadati; Pseudomonadota; Alphaproteobacteria. The record is from RNAcentral.
AGAGUUUGAUCCUGGCUCAGAACGAACGCUGGCGGCAGGCCUAACACAUGCAAGUCGAACGAUGCCUUCGGGCAUAGUGGCGCACGGGUGAGUAACACGUGGGAACAUACCUUUUGGUGGGGGAUAACUUCGGGAAACUGAAGCUAAUACCGCAUACGCCCCUUGGGGGAAAGAUUUAUCGCCGAAAGAUUGGCCCGCGUCCGAUUAGCUAGUUGGUGAGGUAAUGGCUCACCAAGGCUCCGAUCGGUAGCUGGUCUGAGAGGAUGACCAGCCACACUGGGACUGAGACACGGCCCAGACUCCUACGGGAGGCAGCAGUGGGGAAUAUUGGACAAUGGGCGCAAGCCUGAUCCAGCCAUGCCGCGUGAGUGAUGAAGGCCUUAGGGUUGUAAAGCUCUUCACCCACGACGAUGAUGACGGUAGUGGAGAGA